Long non-coding RNA from Thalassophryne amazonica, 399 nucleotides. RefSeq lists it as uncharacterized. NCBI's taxonomy places the organism in Eukaryota, Metazoa, Chordata, Actinopteri, Batrachoidiformes, Batrachoididae. The record is from RefSeq and is a predicted model, not a curated record. The transcript is spliced from 2 exons.
AAGUACUUAAGCAAAUCAAAACUUAUCCAAACAGGACAAGACCAACAGGUCACACACUGGAAAAUAACAAUAUAUGUAACACCUACACAAUAAGUUGUUUUUCCUAACCAUUUACAGGACAGAAAGCCAUUAGAAAAUGAGGUUCAAAGUUAAUGAAAACAACUUUGAAAGGUACUUGUCAUAAAUGUAUUUUUCUUUUAAAAUGUGGGAAAAUGUUACUGGAUAGCUCCCAUUUAUGAUUACUGUAGCAUAAUUCUUUUUCCUGUCACAUUUUGUUGACCACGGGGGCAUCAACAGUAUUAGAAAAGGUGCAUCACUGCCAGCCAUCCUGUCAAGACAUUCAGUAGUCUUCUCCGCCAUUGUAACCACAAGAUAUGCCCUGAGGACUGCAGAGACCUU